Molecule: non-coding RNA, 901 nt
Organism: Salmo salar (Atlantic salmon)
Lineage: Eukaryota; Metazoa; Chordata; Actinopteri; Salmoniformes; Salmonidae
Source: RefSeq, a predicted model, not a curated record
UACAACGUCGUGUAUUCAAUUUGGCUUGUGUUCUAUUUGGAGGAGAAAAUGCGAUUCAUUUGAACAUAAGCAGAAUACGUAGGAAACGUCUGCGUUAUAUACAAUUGAAAAAUAUGGAGUUUGAGUCUUACGAUUUUAAAUGAUUGUAUUCGUUAUUUUCAUUAUUUAAGUGACCAGUAUCGUUAUUAAAAUAGAUUUAGGGCGAGUUUAUGAAAAAACGUGCACCUGAUUAUUACCCGAGCUGUCAAGUUCCCAUUUAACAACUCUGAAAAUGAACACAGAAACUUCUCGCCUUUGCCUCCAGACGAGCUCUAUGAAAAGAGGAAGAUUGCUGUUCUAGAGAUUGAAAUACUGGUGAGGGAGUUCAGAACAACUCUACCCAGAUCAGACAUGUUAUCCAGAUCCUGGCCACAGAUUUUGCCCUGUCCCAGCACCCUCACAGCCGCAAAGGAGACCUCAUCAGCCUGGCAGCAUGCUCCAUCGCUCUGGGCAUCAAGAUUACAUACACAUUAGAGCACAUUACACUGGGUUGUUUGUAAUCAUUGAGUCUACUGGAAGUAAACGUUUUUAGAAGACUGUCUUUUAAAAGACUCACCUUUUGAAAUUAUAAGUUGUGCUUGCAUCCUUGUGUGUGUUCAUGUAUAUGUGUCUUACAGGACUCUGGGCUGUACCUGAAGGAGUUUAUUGAUCCUGUACUCACCUGCUUUAAUGACUCAAGACAGCAGACUGCGGUACUAUGCCUGUGAGGUGCUCUACAACAUAGUGAAAGUGGCCAUUCAAAUGCAUUAUCAUUGCAUUAAAAUGCAAAUCAAUUUCUAACAUUUUUGACAUGCGUUUUCCUGGAUUUUUUUGUUGUUAUUCUGUCUCUCACCGUUCAAAUAAACCUACCAUUAAAAUUAUA